CCUACGGGAGGCAGCAGUGAGGAAUAUUGGUCAAUGGGAGAGAGCCUGAACCAGCCAAGCCGCGUGAGGGAAGACGGCCCUAUGGGUUGUAAACCUCUUUUGUCGGAGAACAAAACCCGGGACGUGUCCCGGACUGCGUGUAUCCGAAGAAAAAGCAUCGGCUAACUCCGUGCCAGCAGCCGCGGUAAUACGGAGGAUGCGGGCGGUAUCCGGAUUUAUUGGGUUUAAAGGGUGCGUAGGCGGUCCGUUAAGUCAGCGGUAAAAUUGCGGGGCUCAACCCCGUCGAGCCGUUGAAACUGGCAGACUUGAGUUGGCGAGAAGUACGCGGAAUGCGCGGUGUAGCGGUGAAAUGCAUAGAUAUCGCGCAGAACUCUGAUUGCGAAGGCAGCGUACCGGCGCCAGACUGACGCUGAGGCACGAAAGCGUGGGGAUCGAACAGGAUUAGAUACCCUUGUAGUC
This 459-nucleotide ribosomal RNA is filed under the name uncultured bacterium. RNAcentral describes it as "partial 16S ribosomal RNA". It matches the Rfam family "Bacterial small subunit ribosomal RNA", at positions 338 to 795 of the family's 1533-position model. The record is from RNAcentral.